This 329-nucleotide ribosomal RNA is filed under the name uncultured eukaryote. Its description in RNAcentral is "partial 18S ribosomal RNA". It matches the Rfam family "Eukaryotic small subunit ribosomal RNA", at positions 1470 to 1796 of the family's 1831-position model. The record is from RNAcentral.
CCCUUAGAUGUUCUGGGCCGCACGCGCGCUACACUGAUGCAUUCAACGAGUCUAAAACCUGCUCUGAUAGGGGUGGGUAAUCUUUUGAAUGUGCAUCGUGAUUGGGAUAGAUGAUUGCAAUUUUUCAUCUUCAACGAGGAAUGCCUAGUAAACGCAAGUCAUCAGCUUGCAUUGAUUACGUCCCUGCCCUUUGUACACACCGCCCGUCGCUCCUACCGAUUGAAUGAUCCGAUGAAUAUCAUGGAUUGAGGAUGCAAGCAGGUUCGCCUGUCUUCAUCUUCGAGAAGUGAAGUAAAUCUUAUCAUUUAGAGGAAGGAGAAGUCGGAACA